CCUACGUGAGGCAGCAGUGAGGAAUAUUGGUCAAUGGGAGAGAUCCUGAACCAGCCAAGCCGCGUGAGGGAAGACGGCCCUAUGGGUUGUAAACCUCUUUUGUCGGAGAACAAAACCCGGGACGUGUCCCGGACUGCGUGUAUCCGAAGAAAAAGCCUCGGCUAACUCCGUGCCAGCCGCCGCGGUAAUACGGAGGAUGCGAGCGUUAUCCGGAUUUAUUGGGCGUAAAGGGUGUGCAGGCGGCUGAGUAAGACAGAUGUGAAAUCCCCGGGCUUAACCUGGGAACCGCAUAUGUGACUGCGUGGCUAGAGUGCGGUAGAGGGAGGGGGAAUUCCACGUGUAGCAGUGAAAUGCGUAGAUAUGUGGAAGAACACCGAUGGCGAAGGCAGCCUCCUGGGACGCAACUGACGCUCAUACACGAAAGCGUGGGGAGCAAACAGGAUUAGAUACCCGAGUAGUC
This 460-nucleotide ribosomal RNA is filed under the name uncultured bacterium. Its description in RNAcentral is "partial 16S ribosomal RNA". It matches the Rfam family "Bacterial small subunit ribosomal RNA", at positions 338 to 795 of the family's 1533-position model. The record is from RNAcentral.